UGGGGAAUUUUGGGCAAUGGGGGAAACCCUGACCCAGCAACGCCGCGUGAAGGAUGAAGUAUUUCGGGUUGUAAAGCUCUUUUGUCAGGGACGAUGAUGACGGUACCUGACGAAUAAGCACCGGCUAACUCUGUGCCAGCAGCCGCGGUAAUACAGAGGGUGCAAGCGUUAAUCGGAAUGACUGGGCGUAAAGGGCGCGUAGGUGGAUGCGUGAGUAAAUUGUGAAAGACCCGGGCUUAACCUGGGAAGGUCAAUUUAAACGGCGUAUCUAGAGUGGAGUAGAGGGAAGUAGAAUUUCCGGUGUAGCGGUGAAAUGCGUAGAUAUCGGAAGGAAUACCGGUGGCGAAGGCGUCUCCCUGGACUCUAACUGACACUGAGGCGCGAAAGCAUGGGGAUCAAACAGGAUUAGAUACCCACGUAGUCCCUGAGCGGGCUGGCAAGGCGCAU
This 447-nucleotide ribosomal RNA is filed under the name uncultured bacterium. Its description in RNAcentral is "bacterial SSU rRNA". It matches the Rfam family "Bacterial small subunit ribosomal RNA", at positions 355 to 825 of the family's 1533-position model. The record is from RNAcentral.